Molecule: non-coding RNA, 1042 nt
Organism: Neofelis nebulosa (Clouded leopard)
Lineage: Eukaryota; Metazoa; Chordata; Mammalia; Carnivora; Felidae
Source: the annotation of a RefSeq genome assembly
GCCGCUGUGGGUGGAGUCUCAGUUCCGGGACUGACAGGGUUCAGGUGUGAUGGGUGCUCAGUGAUUCUGGAGGGACGUGGUGACUGUUGACAACACAACUUCUCUGGACCCAAGACUCUACACUCUUCAGAGUAGGGGUGAAGGCAAGUCAGCGACUAGACAAGGAGUCAUGAAGAGACAGCGGGGAGCCCUGCUGGGGCUUCUGUGGGUGCAGGUUUGCUGGGUGAGAGGGAUGGACGUGGAGCAGACACCUGCAGCCGUGAGCCUCCAGGAGGGAGCCAGCUCUACCCUGAGGUGCAAUUUUUCCAGCUCGGUGACCAACGUGCAGUGGUUCCGACAGAACCCCGGAGGCGGCAGCCUCACCCGGCUGUUUUACAUCGCUUCAGGGAUGAAGCAGGAUGGGAGGUUGAACUGCACGGUGAACACUAAGGACCGGCACAGCAGCCUGCACAUCAGGGCCUCCCAGCAGGAAGACUCAGCCACCUAUCUGUGUGCGGUGGAGGCACAGUGCUCCCUGCUGCUCUGCAGCCUGUCCCCAAACUGCAGCUGGGCUCGUGGCCCCAGCUCUCCAUGGGGCAGGCACUUAUUUGCCCACACAGGAGUUUUUGCACAUUUUCAUACUUCUGUUACAGUACUUUUUUCCCUUCUAAAAGUAUACCCAUCAGGGCUGUCAUUUCACUUUUGCUUUUCUUGCCUUUUUUCUUCCGAGAAAGCCCCUUCCAGGUAAAAAGCUCUACCAUGGAACCAUUGGAGUAGUUGAUGGAGAUGCCAAUAUCCAAUGCCCAGUUAAAACAUAUCUCCUGGCAGCUAGCAUAUAAAUUAUAUGUAAAUUACUCAGAGGGAAAAGGCUUGAAAACAUAUAUGGUCAUCAACCAUGACCAUAUGACUAAGAGAUGACUAAAUUUUUCAGUUACCUGCACAUGGUUUUUUUUUUUUUCAAAGAAAAUAAAACAGAACGUGUGUAAUGUUUUUUAAAGUUUGUAUUCGGCUUUUACACUCCUGGAAAUACAAAUAUAAUAAAACAAUUUUUAUUGAAGUUCAA